GACGAACGCUGGCGGCGUGCCUAACACAUGCAAGUCGAACGGAAAGGCCCUGCUUUUGUGGGGUGCUCGAGUGGCGAACGGGUGAGUAACACGUGAGUAACCUGCCCCUCACUUUGGGAUAACUUCAUGCAACUUGGUCUAAUAGCGCAUAGGAGCUCCUGCUGCAUGGUGGGGGUUGGAAAGUUUCGGCGGUUGGGGAUGGACUCGCGGCUUAUCAGCUUGUUGGUGGGGUAGUGGCUUACCAAGGCUAUGACGGGUAGCCGGCCUGAGAGGGGGACCGGCCACAUUGGGACUGGGAUACGGCACAGACCACAACGGGAGGCAGCGGUGGGGAAUAUUGUACAGUGGGCGGAAGCAUGAUGUAGCAACGCAGCGUGCGGGAUGACGGCCUUCGGGUUGUAAACCGCAGUCGCCUGUGACGAAGCGUGAGUGACGGUAAUGGGUAAAGAAGCACCGGCUAACUACGUG
RNAcentral lists this ribosomal RNA (468 nucleotides) under uncultured bacterium. RNAcentral's name for it is "partial 16S ribosomal RNA". It matches the Rfam family "Bacterial small subunit ribosomal RNA", at positions 28 to 507 of the family's 1533-position model. The record is from RNAcentral.